RNAcentral lists this ribosomal RNA (111 nucleotides) under Gemmiger sp. RNAcentral's name for it is "partial 16S ribosomal RNA". It matches the Rfam family "Bacterial small subunit ribosomal RNA", at positions 1 to 108 of the family's 1533-position model. The record is from RNAcentral. Lineage: Bacteria; Bacillati; Bacillota; Clostridia; Eubacteriales; Oscillospiraceae.
UUUAUAAAGAGUUUGAUCCUGGCUCAGGACGAACGCUGGCGGCGCGCCUAACACAUGCAAGUCGAACGGAGCUUAGAGAGCUUGCUUUUUAAGCUUAGUGGCGAACGGGUG